RNAcentral lists this ribosomal RNA (443 nucleotides) under uncultured bacterium. Its description in RNAcentral is "partial 16S ribosomal RNA". It matches the Rfam family "Bacterial small subunit ribosomal RNA", at positions 338 to 795 of the family's 1533-position model. The record is from RNAcentral.
CCUACGGGGGGCAGCAGUGGGGAAUAUUGGGCAAUGGGCGCAAGCCUGACCCAGCAACGCCGCGUGAAGGAAGAAGGCUUUCGGGUUGUAAACUUCUUUUCUGAGGGACGAAGCAAGUGACGGUACCUGAUGAAUAAGCCACGGCUAACUACGUGCCAGCAGCCGCGGUAAUACGUAGGUGGCAAGCGUUAUCCGGAUUUGCUGGGUGUAAAGGGCGUGUAGGCGGGAAAGCAAGUCAGAUGUGAAAACCAUGGGCUCAACCUGUGGCCUGCAUUUGAAACUGUUUUUCUUGAGUACUGGAGAGGCAGACGGAAUUCCUAGUGUAGCGGUGAAAUGCGUAGAUAUUAGGAGGAACACCAGUGGCGAAGGCGGUCUGCUGGACAGCAACUGACGCUGAGGCGCGAAAGCGUGGGGAGCAAACAGGAUUAGAUACCCCAGUAGUC